This 18-nucleotide ribosomal RNA is filed under the name Alternaria infectoria. RNAcentral's name for it is "partial 18S ribosomal RNA". The record is from RNAcentral. Lineage: Eukaryota; Fungi; Ascomycota; Dothideomycetes; Pleosporales; Pleosporaceae. RNAcentral also lists the same sequence under 1 other name.
GUAGGUGAACCUGCGGAG